Molecule: ribosomal RNA, 1688 nt
Filed under: human metagenome
Description: bacterial LSU rRNA
Rfam family: Bacterial large subunit ribosomal RNA
Source: RNAcentral
CGACAGGCGUAGUCGAUGGAUGACGGGUUGAUAUUCCCGUACCGGCGAAGCACCGCCCAUGCUGACGCGCGGGUGCUAACCCACGCCCAGCCGCCAUGUAGGCCGCGCCUACUCCUUUCGGGGGGUGGUGUGGUUGUGGUGGUGGGGUCUGGGGAUCCUCCGUGCAGGUAGGCAAGCGUGUUAACAGGGGUGACGCACAGUGGUAGCCCGGCGGACCUGAUGGCUUGGUCCGUUCAAGCGCGCAGCCCGUCCUCCAGGUAAAUCCGGGGGGCUGUCUUUGAUGACGGGGGUGAGGCGUGAUGGUGACCUCACGUUUGGUGGGGGAUAACAGGGUGAUCCUGGGGUGCCGAGAAAAGCCUCGACGCGAUGGUGCCAGCCGCCCGUACCCUAAACCGACACAGGUGGUCGGGCAGAGUAUGCCUAGGCGCACGAGUGAAUCAUGGUUAAGGAACUCGGCAAAAUGCCCCCGUAACUUCGGGAGAAGGGGGGCCCGAACCCUGAAACGGCUGGCCCGUUAGGGGGGUGGGCCGCAGAGAGCAGGGGGGAGCGACUGUUUACUAAAAACACAGGUCCGUGCGAAGCCGUAAGGCGAUGUAUACGGACUGACGCCUGCCCGGUGCUGGAAGGUUAAGAGGAACCAUCAACCCUCGGGUGAAGUGGUGAAUUUAAGCCCCAGUAAACGGCGGUGGUAACUAUAACCAUCCUAAGGUAGCGAAAUUCCUUGUCGGGUAAGUUCCGACCUGCACGAAUGGCGUAACGACUUCCCCGCUGUCUCAACCAUGAGCUCGGCGAAAUUGCAGUACGAGUAAAGAUGCUCGUUUCGCGCAGAAGGACGGAAAGACCCCGGGACCUUUACUACAGCUUGGUAUUGGCGCCCGCUAUAGCUUGUGCAGGAUAGGUGGGAGACUGUGAAGCCGUUACGCCAGUGGCGGUGGAGUCGUCCUUGAAAUACCACUCUGGUUAUGGCGUGCGCCUGAACCUGGGCCCGUGAUCCGGGUUAGGGACAGUGCCUGGUGGGUAGUUUAACUGGGGCGGUUGCCUCCUAAAGUGUAACGGAGGCGCUCAAAGGUUCCCUCAGCCUGGUCGGUAACCAGGUGUUGAGUGUAAGUGCACAAGGGAGCUUGACUGUGAGACUGACGGGUCGAGCAGGUACGAAAGUAGGAACUAGUGAUCCGGCGAUCCCGUGUGGGUGGGUCGUCGCUCAACGGAUAAAAGGUACCCCGGGGAUAACAGGCUGAUCCUGCCCAAGAGUCCAUAUCGACGGCAUGGUUUGGCACCUCGAUGUCGGCUCGUCGCAUCCUGGGGCUGGAGCAGGUCCCAAGGGUUGGGCUGUUCGCCCAUUAAAGCGGUACGCGAGCUGGGUUUAGAACGUCGUGAGACAGUUCGGUCCCUAUCCUCUGCGCGCGUAGGAGACUUGAGAAGGCCUGUCCCUAGUACGAGAGGACCGGGACGGACGAACCUCUGGUGUGCCAGUUGUCCCGCCCGGGGCACGGCUGGUUGGCUACGUUCGGGACGGGUAACCGCUGAAAGCAUCUAAGCGGGAAACCAUCUUCAAGAUAAGGUCUCCGCAAGAAGGACUUGUCCUUUUUGGUAGGCCCCCAGCAGACUACUGGGUUGAUAGGCCAGGAGUGGAAGACCGGCAACGGUUUAUGAGCUGACUGGUACUAAUAGGCCGACACAAACAACAA